Molecule: ribosomal RNA, 255 nt
Filed under: Triticum aestivum (bread wheat)
Lineage: Eukaryota; Viridiplantae; Streptophyta; Magnoliopsida; Poales; Poaceae
Description: partial small subunit ribosomal RNA
Source: RNAcentral
AUGUAUCCUCUAGCCUGGGCUAUAGUUGAGAAUGAAACAAAUAUAGCCUGGAAGUGCUUUGUUGGGCUGCUCUUGAAGGACUUGGAAAUAGACAACAAUGGAGCUUGUUGGGUUAUUAUUUCUGAUCAACAGAAGGGUUUGAUAAAUGCAGCCAAGGAUUACCUUCCUGAUGCAGAGCAUAGGAUGUGUGCUAGGCACAUUUAUGCUAAUUGGAGGAAAAAACAUAGAGAUCAUGAGUGGCAAAAGAAAUUUUGA